Molecule: ribosomal RNA, 465 nt
Filed under: uncultured Klebsiella sp.
Lineage: Bacteria; Pseudomonadati; Pseudomonadota; Gammaproteobacteria; Enterobacterales; Enterobacteriaceae
Description: bacterial SSU rRNA
Rfam family: Bacterial small subunit ribosomal RNA
Source: RNAcentral
CCUACGGGGGGCAGCAGUGGGGAAUAUUGCACAAUGGGCGCAAGCCUGAUGCAGCCAUGCCGCGUGUGUGAAGAAGGCCUUCGGGUUGUAAAGCACUUUCAGCGGGGAGGAAGGCGGUGAGGUUAAUAACCUCAUCGAUUGACGUUACCCGCAGAAGAAGCACCGGCUAACUCCGUGCCAGCAGCCGCGGUAAUACGGAGGGUGCAAGCGUUAAUCGGAAUUACUGGGCGUAAAGCGCACGCAGGCGGUCUGUCAAGUCGGAUGUGAAAUCCCCGGGCUCAACCUGGGAACUGCAUUCGAAACUGGCAGGCUAGAGUCUUGGAGAGGGGGGUAGAAUUCCAGGUGUAGCGGGGAAAUGCGUAGAGAUCUGGAGGAAUACCGGUGGCGAAGGCGGCCCCCUGGACAAAGACUGACGCUCAGGUGCGAAAGCGUGGGGAGCAAACAGGAUUAGAUACCCUUGUAGUC